GAUGAACGCUGGCGGCGUGCCUAAUACAUGCAAGUCGAGCGAACAGACGAGGAGCUUGCUCCUCUGACGUUAGCGGCGGACGGGUGAGUAACACGUCGAUAACCUACCUAUAAGACUGGGAUAACUUCGGGAAACCGGAGCUAAUACCGGAUAAUAUAUUGAACCGCAUGGUUCAAUAGUGAAAGACGGUUUUGCUGUCACUUAUAGAUGGAUCCGCGCCGCAUUAGCUAGUUGGUAAGGUAACGGCUUACCAAGGCAACGAUGCGUAGCCGACCUGAGAGGGUGAUCGGCCACACUGGAACUGAGACACGGUCCAGACUCCUACGGGAGGCAGCAGUAGGGAAUCUUCCGCAAAGGGCGAAAGCCUGACGGAGCAACGCCGCGUGAGUGAUGAAGGUCUUCGGAUCGUAAAACUCUGUUAUUAGGGAAGAACAAAUGUGUAAGUAACUAUGCACGUCUUGACGGUACCUAAUCAGAAAGCCACGGCUAACUACGUG
RNAcentral lists this ribosomal RNA (497 nucleotides) under uncultured bacterium. RNAcentral's name for it is "partial 16S ribosomal RNA". It matches the Rfam family "Bacterial small subunit ribosomal RNA", at positions 28 to 507 of the family's 1533-position model. The record is from RNAcentral.